This 550-nucleotide ribosomal RNA is filed under the name Streptococcus pneumoniae. RNAcentral describes it as "bacterial SSU rRNA". It matches the Rfam family "Bacterial small subunit ribosomal RNA", at positions 95 to 633 of the family's 1533-position model. The record is from RNAcentral. Lineage: Bacteria; Bacillati; Bacillota; Bacilli; Lactobacillales; Streptococcaceae.
GUUGCGAACGGGUGAGUAACGCGUAGGUAACCUGCCUGGUAGCGGGGGAUAACUAUUGGAAACGAUAGCUAAUACCGCAUAACAGUAAAUGUUGCAUGACAUUUGCUUAAAAGGUGCAAUUGCAUCACUACCAGAUGGACCUGCGUUGUAUUAGCUAGUUGGUGGGGUAACGGCUCACCAAGGCGACGAUACAUAGCCGACCUGAGAGGGUGAUCGGCCACACUGGGACUGAGACACGGCCCAGACUCCUACGGGAGGCAGCAGUAGGGAAUCUUCGGCAAUGGACGGAAGUCUGACCGAGCAACGCCGCGUGAGUGAAGAAGGUUUUCGGAUCGUAAAGCUCUGUUGUAAGAGAAGAACGAGUGUGAGAGUGGAAAGUUCACACUGUGACGGUAUCUUACCAGAAAGGGACGGCUAACUACGUGCCAGCAGCCGCGGUAAUACGUAGGUCCCGAGCGUUGUCCGGAUUUAUUGGGCGUAAAGCGAGCGCAGGCGGUUAGAUAAGUCUGAAGUUAAAGGCUGUGGCUUAACCAUAGUACGCUUUGGAAAC